UGUAUACGCGUGUAUAUGAGCGCUUGUGUCUGUACUGAUGUUAAAAAAACCAUAACCCAUAGAUUGAUGCAGGGGGGAUUAGUACAUUAGAAAAUCAAGAGGCCAGAGGUGAUCCUCCUUUUUUUUAUAAAGAAAAUCAAGAGGCCCACGAGAAAAUCACAGGGAGAAGCUAGUUGGUUCCCAACACGACCUCGGAAUCACGCCUACUUGGCACAAUUAGGAAAACAUGAACACAAGAUUGACUUUGCGGUCGUAAACGUAAACAGGUCAAAAAUCAUGGUCAUGUUGUAACAAUGCAUAUAUGUAGCUCAGAGAAAGGGGGAACAUCAAAUCAUCCAUUGUAGGAAGAGGAGCCAUCGCCAUGAUAGUUAUUUGUUUCUCUAUCUAGCACAAAUUGUUUAUCACCAGAUAGUUUAGGCAUUUCUAUAGAUUAAUGAAAGAAUGCAAAAGGAUGAGACAUAUAUAGGCUUCAGAUAUCUAAUUCGUGACUCCCAGAAAGUAAAGCAAAAAUUUAGUGUGGCGAAUGGUUAAAUGCCUGUUAACCACCAAACUAAACUACUAGUGUGGCAACUAGAAAUUAAGAGAUGCAAAAAAAUCGCUGGUGCACUUUGCCUGAAUGUAAUCUGUAUCCAAUGGUAUGUACAUAACACCACCGAGGGAGAACAAAUCAUCAGCUUGUAAAAAAGACAAUAUCAGUGGCGGAGCUACGUGCAAUGCUAAGGGGACCAUGCAGAAUAUAAUUUACAUAUUCUAAAAUUGUCACCGUGUACAUUUUGCAGAAAACACCCCCAGCUUCCCCCGACACAAUCCACACUCCACACCGCCCAUUCCGCCCCACGUCGCCUUGCCCCUCCCUUCCCACCUCCUCCCACGCCGGUGCGACCUUCUUCCCCCAUGCCUCGUUUGAAGCUUGGAAUUUUGCCGAAGGUUGGAUUUUUGCGCGGCGGCCUAGCGAGGCGUCCAUCCCCGAGGACCCCUGGCCAUGGCGGCCGCCGUCCAUGUCUACCUCCUCCGUCAGCCUCCUCCGUCUGCCGCCUUGUCGACCCGGUCUCUUCUCCUCGCCGUGGCGCUUCCCCCCUCCCGCCUUCCCGUCUCCGCUCCUCCCUCCCCAUCGGCACCUGCCAACUACCCGACGAUCUGGACUCCGGCGACCCCUGCUGGCCCCCUCGUCCGACCACCUGCUCGCCGUCAACCAUGAAGCCCGCCCCCUCCAUGGACAUCGUCGACCCAAGCACUGGGAAGCACGGGUGGUCAAGGUGGAGGAGCUCACCGCCGAGCUCGCCGGAGCACUACGCGCUCAAGGCGUCCACAACUCCACGUGCUCAAGUCCAGAGCUUGCCGGAGCUUCAGAUCCAGAGCUCAAUGCUGCAUUGCUGACUGGCACAUCAGGGGCAAGCAGCAGACCAUAAAAUUACAAAUGAUUUCUCCGCGGAGCGGAAGAUUGGUGGAGGUCCAUUCGGAAACGUUUAUAAGGGUGUUGUGCCAGAUGAUGGCAGAGUGAUUGCGGUGAAGAAACUUCAGGAAAACGCACAGAUGCUGCCUGACAAGACAUUCAACAAUGAGGUUCAGAACAUUAGGGCAUUAUCUUUAGCUUUUUCUACAUUUCCAUAUUUGGAGCUAGGACAUUUUGAUCUCCAAAUGCUAGUUUGACAUUUCACUAGCAAUUCUGAAAUACUCAUGCUAAAGAUUGCAGGAAAAUGCUUUUCUCUCUAUAGUUUGAGCCACAUCUAUAGUGUGAUCAUUUAAAUUCAGGUCAUGUACUCCUGGGAGUUGUCUGAAUUUUUUUGUUAGAACUUGGGAGUCGUACAUGACCUGUAGAACAUCUAAAGUUCCGUUAGAAGAUUCUGUAGUUCAAGGUUUGGUCUUCGGCCCUCUGUUUCUGCUAUCCGCUGAUCUUAAAUGUGUGUAGUUUGCUCCAUAGCAACUACACACACUGUCAAAACUAACAAGAUGUUAUACUGUUGUCAAAACUGAAAACUGAAAACUGCUGUCAUUUUAACUGAAUUUCUCUGAAGACAUAAUUGCAGUGGCUAGUCCUGGAUAUUGGUGAGAAUCACAGUCUUGUGGUUGAAAUUCUACACAUGGUAAAAGUUCAGUGUAAAUGUUUGAAAUUUUGUUUGAAGCUUCAGUGUAAAUGUUCUAUUUUAAGAGUACAAGAUCACUGAAUACAGUUUCGUGGGGUCCUAUUUUUCAGUGUAAAUGUUCUAUUUUCAGUGUAAAAUUUUGUUUAGAAGGGCCCCUUAUUUUUUCAGAUUCUUCUAUGAUCAAUGCAGAGACUAAUGGAGAUAAUAGCUAGUGCAAAGGAGUCUAUUUGGAUAGUGGAAGGGGAAUCAGAUUGCCUCGGGGGACAAAUUUGACUAAGGCAGCAGCACUGAACUUUACCUCUUGCGGCACAGGCGGGCAUCAGCAGCGGCUAGGGAUGGGGUGGCAAAAGGCAGCGGUGGCGAGGGGCGGGGCUCGAUCAGGCGCCCGGUCGUCUCGCCGCUGGGCAGACCCGCGUGGCCCUGCCAGCCGAAGCAGCCAGAGAGAGGAGCGGCGGCCGCGGGCGCGAGGAAGCGGCCUGGGACGUGAGCAGCAGCACGCACUCCUGGUCCAGGCGAUCGACAGCCAGGAGAACACAGAGCUCGAGGAGGACGAAACGCGCGGAGGAGAUCGUGGCUGGAGGGGGACGCGCGGAGGUGCUCGUGGAAUGAAGGGAAUGCGCCAGCGCGGUUCCUCAGCGGCGGCGGAGCAGUUCCUGGACGGCGCACGUCCUGGCCGGCGUAGGUGAAGAAUCGUACGACGGCAUCCUUGGCGACGCGUGGAAUCGCGCAGGUGCAGGUGGGUGGCGGCGGUGGAAUCAGAGGCGUAGGUGGCGGGCGGCGGCGGAAUCAGAGGGGCAAGUGGGCUCGUGCUGGAGAACGGCGGCGAAAUCAGUUGGGCGGCGCCUGCCCAGGCGAUGCGCGGGGACAACGGAGGAAGAAGAUGGAGACAUGGUUCUAUUUGAGACAGUUUGAAAACUCCGAGGGCAUUUUUGCAAAAACACUAGUACACUACGCGGUGGACAACUUUUUCCGGACGGAGGGAGUAUAUAACACCACCGAGGGAGAACAAAUCAUCAGCUUCUAAAAAAGGAGUAAAAUGCAUCAGUGCACCCUAAACUUGCUGGUUAGGACCAAAACGGUCCUCAAACUCUGUAACUGCAUCAUUACAGUCCUAAUACUUGGUCAUACGGUGUGAGUACGGUCCUCGAAUUUGGUCCAUCGGUCCUAGAGUUCGUGCAUCAUACGAAAUCGCUGUACAGAGCCGUAUUGGGUCGGCCACGUCGUCCGUUUGUAGGGCCCACUUGUUAGUUUCUUCAGCUCUCCUCUUUCGCAGCUCCCAUUCUUCAUUCCUUGCUGUGCCUUGCUGUGCCUUGCUGAUUAUUCUGCUGCUCCCAAGCUUUUUGCCUAGCAGCCUCCUCAGCCUCUUUAAAAAUUCUUUAACCCUCCUGCCUCUCAAACUCCUCUGCUUGAUGUAUUAGAAAAGCUGCCUCCUCCUGCUGGUGUGAUGUAUUUGCAAGCAUUUUUUCUCCUGUGCAAUCCUUCUCUUCUCUUCGGCAUUUUUUUUGUUUUGCUAAAUCGGCAUUUCUUUUUCUCUCAUCCAUCAUUUGCCUUUUCUUCUCUGCCAUUUGAAGUUUCUCCUCUUGGGCCUUUCUCUUUUUUUCCUCAAUAGCUCUUCUCUUUUCUUCUGCAGCAAGUCUCUUCUCCUCUAGUAUAGCUUUUUUCUUUUCCUCAGUUGCUUGUUUCUUAGCUUCCAACUCUUCCUUUCUCUUUUGAGCCGCAAGCUUAAUUUUGUCCUCUUCUUCUUUCAACUUUGCCAUAGCUGCUUCAAACUUUGCUUGGUCUGCAACUUCUCUUUUCUCAGCUGCAGCUCUUAACUUUGCCAGUGCUAGAAUCUCUCUUUUCCUGUGAACAACCAUCGAGGAAAAGAAUAGGCCUACAAGCUGAUAGGAAGCCCCUCUUGCAAGCAUCAAAGGAAAAGUAGCAUUUCUCAAACUUACCAUCUUCAUCAAGGUCUAAAUAAAAUGUACUUCCUGAAUUGGAUCUCCUUAGCUCAUUUGCAUAGUCCCACAACUUGUUGUACUGUGCUAUUUCAUCACCAUAUAUAAUAUUGAAAGCUAGUCCUCUGGCCCUCCCUAGUUUCCCCCUUUUAAUUGUCAUGUUACAAUCUUCUUGCACAAGUGCUGCCAAUCCCUUCAAGGUUAUCUUCUCAUUAGCUCUUAUUUUCUCCACAUACUUGUCAGCAAUGUACUUGGCAGUAAAUGCCCUCACUUGCCACUUCUUGCUACAAUGAUGCACACCAUUGAAGGUUUUCACCAUAACUGAAUUUGUCCUUUUGUCCAAUGAGGCAUAAAGAUACCAUGGACAUCCAUCCUUACACUUAGCACCAAUCCUAGUUUUAUCAUUCUUGGGAAAUGUGAUGCUCACUUUCUCUUUCACACUAUACUCUCUGAUUGCUCUUCUUAGCAAAUCAACUGAUGAGAAUAGUUGCCCCACAUG
Non-coding RNA from Aegilops tauschii subsp. strangulata, 4520 nucleotides. The record is from RefSeq and is a predicted model, not a curated record. NCBI's taxonomy places the organism in Eukaryota, Viridiplantae, Streptophyta, Magnoliopsida, Poales, Poaceae.